This 9788-nucleotide long non-coding RNA is filed under the name Marmota monax (woodchuck). The record is from RNAcentral. Lineage: Eukaryota; Metazoa; Chordata; Mammalia; Rodentia; Sciuridae.
CUUCCAUGGCUACACUAGCCACACUUUAACUGCUCUGUAGCCCCAUGUGGCUAGUGUUUACUCUGUAAAAUAGCACAAAUAUAAGACAUUUCCAUCAUUGCAGAAAGUUCUAUUGACAGCACUAUUUUCUAGAGCAUGAUUUUCAAACUGUUUUCUACAGACUACCUAUUAAAUCAGAAUCUGUAGGAAUAGAGGACUAGAAAUUUGCAUUUUGAACAAAUGCCUCAGGGUAUUUUUAUGCUUGCUGAAGUUAGAGGAACUUCUGCCGGGAUCCAAAAUCUAAUGUCCAGAGGUAAGUGUAAUGUGGGAAUAGGCAAAUGUCAGAGACAGACAGGGACCCAUCAGCUUAACUACCUUGCUUGCCAGCCAUGAAAAUCAUACCUCGUUGCCUCAGGUGCAGCUUGUGGAGCUGAUCUCUGACACCAGAGCUUCAUAGCAUGGAAGAGGUACAAGCCCUUAAGCCAGUGGCAUUCUAAAGAUGUGUGGCUGGUCCUAGGUGUAUUCUCUGGUCCCACAUGCCUUCUGGUUUCUACGUGCUAAUAGAGGUGAGAACCAGGGCCUGCAUUCAGUUUCAGGGAUGAAUCCCAAUCCCAGAAGGAGCAAUCAAGAAAUAUCUGUCUUCUUCUUCACACUAUUUGGAUCUCCCUCUCCUUCCCAGGAGCAUAUUUUGGCAAGAUCCUUUUUUUUUGAUACUGGGGAUUAAACCCCAGGGCUCAACAACCGAGCCACAUCCCAAGCCCUAAAAAAUUUUGUAUUUUAUUUAGAGACAGGGUCUCACUGAGUUUCUUAGUGUGCCUCACUUUUGCUGAGGCUGGCUUUGAACUUGCUAUCUUCCUGCCUCAGCCUCCCGAACCACUGGGCUCACAGGUGUGCACCACUGUGUCCAGCAAGAUCCUAUUAUUUUUUGAUCAUCUUUCAGAUAUAAAAAAUGAGUUCUAUUGAGAGGAUUAAAAAACUCAGUUCAAUCUUAAAUCAAAUUUUUGUUUGUUUCUUCUGCGUCCCUUACCCUCCAACUCAUCAGUGGGGAGGGGUCUCCAUAUAUUAUUUCAUUUUCUUCCAUCCACCUCCUUUCUUCUGGUUCUGAAGGUUCUGACAGUCAAGGAAAGUAGCAUAGCUGGCUUGAAUCAGUCACCUGACCUCAGACCUCGUUUACCAUAUACCCAGCUGAUUUUCAUAGAGCUGCUUUGUGGGUUUUUGGGAGAACCUCUGCUGGGACUGCAUGUACUGCACUAUGCUUGAGCUGACCUCUAGUUCCCACUCAGUGCCUGCUCUCUAGAUGCACACCCCUAAGAUUCCCCGGCUCCAGCUGGCAGCCCCCUUGGCCAAGGAAGGCUUGAGUCUAAUUUCUAAUUGAGACUGCCACUUUGUUAAAUAGGUAUCUGGUUAUAUGCAUGGUCCAUCAAAGUACAAGUGUCACUAGCUCGUAGACUACCCACAGGAUGCAGUGGAUUAGUUAAGAUCACAUAUUGAUAAAGAAUAGGAUGGGGGUGCUGGGGUUGUGGUUCAGUGGUAGAGUGCUUGCCUAGCACUUGGGAGGCCCUGGGUUCAAUCCUCAGCACCACAUAAAAAUAAUUAAAGAUAUUGUAUCCAUCUACAACUAAAAAAUAUUAAAAAAAAAGAAGAGGAUGGGAUGGAGGCAAGUUGAAAACGAACCAUAAACAUUUUCCCCAACAUCCAUCUGGGUGCAUAAAUGAAGUGGAAGACUUUGGUUGCUGACUUAUUUUCACUGGCUCGGAAUUGCUUUAUCUAGGGGGAUAAGUGUUUUCUCAAGAGGAAGCUCUGCCACAGUUGGUACCUCUGAGGGUUGCAUAUGUAGCAGGUUUAAUGAGUGCUUUCUAUGUAAUAGGAGCACUAAAUAUCACUCUUUCUCCUCCAAGUUCAGAACCAUCUGAGAGACAGACAUGGAGUCAAAUGUGGUAGGUCAGAAGAUCAAUUUGGUUAAUGGAUUGGUGGAUUUAGCUGAGUUGUGCAGUCUUCUUAUAGGAGACUCCUUCGUCAUACACACCCAUUUUCUAGCUAGUCAGGGACACAACUGGCCAGAUACCUGCUGGCCCUCCUGCGAGGGGUAGUAGAACAGGACAUGGCAGAGAAUUUUCUUCCUGUGGACAGUCACAUCCAAAUGAAACAAACUAGAGCAAGCAUAUCCCACAAGCUUGGUUUCUUCUGCAAAACUUACAGGCUGGGGUGGGGAGGUGUGAGGGAAGGCGGAGAGAGAGGACAGGAGUGUUAUUCUGGCUAAAGUCCUUCCAUGUGAGCACAUGGUUGUGGGCAUGCAGAACAACUACUUUGCAUACAUCUGCAUAUAUUAGCAUAUCCCAUUUUUGUAACACUGGUAUCACUACCCAUUUUAUAGAAAACCAAGGCUAAGAUGAUAUUCCACAUGCGUGGUAAAUCAGGGUCUGAACCAAGUCUGAUUUUAAGUCCGUGUUCUUUCACUACCUUGUAUCCUGCACCUCAUUUGGAGUGCUGGGAAGGGAGGGCUUCUGUUUUUCUUCUGAAACCCUCUUAUGGGCUCUUUUAUAUCCUGGGGCCACCAGGUCAACUUGAACCUUGUAACUUGAGUUCCUUAAAGCACCUGAGCCCACAAAAUCUUUAGCGAGUCUGUGGCAGAUCUGAAGAGGCCCAUGAUGGGAAGGCUGGGAGAACUCCCUGUGGAGUUGGGCUUUGGUUUCCCAUUCAGGACCUAUGUCUGCUUGCCACGCUGUCCUCACAAGGCCAAAGAGGCUGCCAUGGAGAUCUCACCAGGCCUCAUAUCAGGGUGAUUGGUAGUUGCUUUAGCUCAGUCCUUGGUCAGGUCUGCAGGAAUUAUCAAUGAGACACUGGGCCAGCCUGGACUUCUCUCUUAGCUCAGGAAUGCCCUUUAAUUAUAAUUCUCUGUGGUUACAAAGAUGCAUGUAGUCUCUAGCUGGUUAGUCUAUUCUGUUGGGCUCUGAUUCCUUCCCUAAACCUGGGUUUCCUAUUGAUCUUAUAAGCCUUUCUGACACUCUGCACGUGGUUAUGCGCUUGCUUUUCAGUCUCUGCAGAUGGUUGAACUACUGUACAUCCCCAUUCUCCUCCUCUUUCCCUUUACUCUUUCUCUUUCCUUCUCUCUCCUUACUCCCUCAUCUUUCUUUUCUACCUGUUUUCCUCUCUUUUUCUUUCUCUCCCUCUUUGCCUCCCAUUAGCCUUGAACCUCAAGGGGGGAUAGGACUAUCUUCAAAGAAAGAAUCUUUGUCACAGGAUUAUCAGAUUCCAAAAUGUAAUCUAGUAGAAGGCAGCACUGUAGGAACAUUCUGCAAGGAGCUAAGGGACUGUAAAGCAUUCCUGGAUAUCACAGAAAUCUCUUGAGGAUGCUGGGCAAAAGGACAGCUGCUACAGAAGUGAAGGUGGGCUUCAACCCCCUUCCUCUAGCAAGAGGCAAGGUACCAAAGGGAGAGGGGAAGGGUUUUAUGCCUCAUUUUAUUCUCUUUGACAAUUUGCCUAGUCAGUUCUGCCUGUAUUAUUGUCACCUCUAAGAACAUUUUUUCCCUACCAUUUAAUCCAUCAGUCUUUUAUUAAAGCUUAGAUAAAAAAAAAAAAUCCCUUCAACACCCAGCCACUAGAAGGGAAAUUUCAGAGAAUGAGAUGAUCAGAUUUCCAAGUUUAUUGAAAAACCUAUAGAUAACUGCAUGACUGCUCAUGCUGUUUUAUAAAACAAGUGCAGCUAGGUGAGCCAUUUAAUAAUGUUGGAACUGUCGGCUGUGUGGGUAGUGGAGAGGAGAGCACCCCUCCGGCAGGUGUUGGCUCUGGCAGCAAUGAACACUGCGGCACACUGCACUGCAGCACAGGGUCACCCUGCAGGCUGAGCCACACUGCUUCUUAGGAACCAUCCACAGCACGGCCUGUUAUCUGGCAGACAGAGUGCCCAGGUCUUUCCAAGCACAGUAGAACCCAAACAUAUCCCUCUAUGUCAACCACAUUCUGGGGCUUUUGAAGGUGUUUAAUCCUUACCACAAUCCUGAGAUAGACAUCAUUGCCUCUGUUUGCCAGAUGGAAAAAUUGGAGGCUGCAGGAGGGAAGGAACCUAUGUAAAAUUAUAGAAUGGAGUGGUAGAGCCAGGGAAAUAACCCAGGUUUUCCCAUUCCUGUGCCUUUUUUGUUUUACCCUGUCACCAAAAACAGUCUAUAGAGCAGGGAGUGUUAAAGAAACCGUCCUUUGGCAUGCAGGGUAAGUAUAUUAGAGCUGGUGGGUGGGUAGAGAUAGGAGAGUAAUGCAGAGGUAGUAGAACCCUGAAGUUAUAGAUAUACUCUGAAAUCAAGAUUUAUGCUUUCAGAUCCCACUAUUCAAUAAGUUAAUUUCUCGGUGCCUCUUUAUAAAAUGAGGACUGAUAAUAGUAUCUGCAUCAUAGGUUUGUGGUAAAGGUUAAAAGAGAUAAUAAAGUAUGUAAUACUGUGUCUAGCAUAUGAUAGGUUGGAUAAAUGAUGUAGCCUUAGGCUCAAUUUUAGAAUCAAAGGAAAUCUGAAAAAGGGCCUCAUGUAGGGUCUGUCUUGUAGAGGUCAUCAGGUAUUUUCAAUUCCUUUCUGCCAUCUUAUAAGUAUACUUUGCUUGCCUGCCCUGCUUACUAUGGUCUGGGAUGCCUGCAGUUACCUCAUCAGAAGGGCUGCUAUUCAGAGUUGACCCCUGAUUGCCAAUGUGCCCUUUGUGGUCUUGCCACAACUCAUAGUAUCACCUUGGGUGACUUCAGACUUGCUUGGCUGGGCCUCAGUUUCCUUAGUUAUAAGGGGAUAUAGACAGAACUAAGUUUGAAGAAGCAGGGUGUGUGAAUUUCUACAUCAGAAUUACCUGGAUGGAUUGUUGAAAAUUCUGAUUCAUGGGCCUUGCCUCUAGUUGACCAAAAUCAGAAUCUAUAGCAGUGCUUGCUAUGGUUCAAAUAUGGUUUGUUCCCUCUGAAACUCAUAUUGGAAUUUAAUCCCCAUUGUGAGGUAUUAAAAGGUUGGAAACUUAAUCUGACUGUGGUAUGCAGAGGUAGGGCCUUUGGGAGAUAAUUAGAAUUAUAUAAAGUCAUGGGGCGGGGAGGGCUAUGACUGAAUAUAAGGAGGGAGAAAGACUAGAAGACACAGACAUACUCACAUACUCACCCCACAUUCACACUCUGUCUUUUACAAUGUAAUGUCCUGAGGCAUUAGAAGACAGUCACCAGAUGUGGCCCCUCAACCUUGGACCUGAACCAGGAGCCAAAAUAAACCUUCUCUUUAUAACUUACUGUGGGAUUGUGUUAUUAGGAACAGAAAAUGGGCUAAUACAGUGCUCUAGGAUGUACAUUUGUAAAAAGCACCCUCCCCAUGCUUCAUGCCCUGGCCCAACUCUCAGAGAAUCUGGUAUAAUUGGCCAUUAAUAAAUAAUGAAAGCAAAUUAAAUAAUAAAAGCAAAUUAAAUAAUAAGUCAAUUUAGAAAAUUGAUUUAGUUCUUUACUUUGGUUUUAAGAUUUUCCUGUUUAUUUAUUUUUGUAGCAGUUUUGCUACAUGUGUGUAACUGUGGUUCUAUGUAUUUAUUCUGUUUAGGGUUCAUAACACUUCUAGAAUAUAUGGUUUGUGGUCUUUUGCCAGGUUUGGAAAAUUCUUGGUCAUUAUCUCUGUAAAAGUUAUUUCUGCUCCAUUUGCUCUUUCCUCUGUAGGACCCCAAUUACAUGUGUGUUGGACCUGUUCACCAUGUCCUAUUAGAUCUUGUACACUCCCCUUUCAUUCCCCUAGUACUUUCCAUUUUGUUCCUCCAUUCUUUCAGUCUAAAUAUUCUCUAUUACAUAUUUUUGAAUUCCCUAAUCUUUUCUUCAGCUUUGCCUACCCACCUGUUGAGUUCCUAGCUUAAUUAUUAUAUAUUUCAGAACAGAACUUUCAUUUGAUUUUUAAAAUGGACUUUAAUUCUUUGUUAAAAUUCAAUUUUUAGAAAUGUUGAUUACACUGAUCUUGUGUUAUAAUUUCAGUGUCAGGAUUUCUUUGUAUUUCUGUGUUUAUUAUCUUCUUCUUGGUUUCUGGCCUUUUCCCAGUAUGCUUUGUAAUUUUUUUAUUUAAAUUUUUUUUGUUGUUGUAUAUUAUGUCAGUUGUAUGUGAAAAUUUGGAGAGAGAAUUUGAGGCUCUGGAUAGUGCAUUUUUUCUCCUGAGAAGAUCUGCUAUUGCUUUUGGAAGUUAGGGUCAGGGCAGAUUGUCAUAAUCCCGUCUGGGAUGGAGCAGAUGGGAAGCCAGGCUUUUGUUUUCGUAAAUCCUGGUGUGUUCCUGAUUUGUCCUCCUUUCUGGGACUCAGUAGUUCUUUCUGAAAGUUUGGGGUGUAUACCAAGUGCCUCCUUCUUGGUGAGCCCUAAACUCUCAUUUUUGCUCCCCCAGGGUAGGUAGGUAGGACUAUCGAAACUCAGCUUCCUAGCUGCUUGACUGGUGGUUUCUAUUUCAUUUCUUCUCUUGGCUUCUUCGCUGAUCAAAAAUACAACUUCUUAGCUUUUAGUUUUUUUCUUGAGCAUCAGCAAAUGUUUCAAGGCAAAAAGCUGUGCCAAACAUUAGGCUCAUUUCUGUGCCUCCAUUCUCUUUGAGAUCUUGGUGCCUUUAGAUCUCACCACAUGUGAUAGCUCUCUGAUGCUUUCAGAUGGAAUUUGUUUUUUAAAAAAUAUUUUUUUUUUAGCAUUUCUAUUUGUUCUUGGCAGAAGAAUUGAUCUCAAUAAAUUAGUCUGUCACAGGCAGAAAUGGAAUUUCCUGAUAUUGUUUUUUUUAAUCUCUUCAAGUGAUUUUAAAAUGAGAUGUACUGGACGAAAUCAGCUCCUUCCCACAUCAUAAGAAGGUCUCAUCACCUAAGACCCAUGUUUAAUAAUGUUGGUUUCCUGGUCCUACUUCAGAUACAUUGAACCACAAUUUUAUAAAAAAAAAGACUUGUGGGGCUGUGGUUGUGGCUCAGUGGUGGAGCACCUGCCUUGUACAUGUGAUGCACUGGGUUCAAACUACAUAAAAAUAAAUAAAUAAACAUAUUGUAUCCUUCUACAACUAAAAAGUUAUUUAAAAAAAAAAAGACUUGUAAUUUGUAGUUCUAGCAAGUGCUUCUAACAAAGGCACACUUGGGAAGCACUGAGCAAGUGGUUCAUCAGGGUUCUCCUUGCUCUAGUUGCCUAUGGAUAUUCCAGUACCCCAGUGAGUCCCCUUACCCAAGGGACUCUGCAUAUAUUGGCAGGAAAGAGUCUGGUUGUUCUGUGUGCAGGGAAGGAAGCAUGAUACUUGUACCAAUAUCUCUAGAUUUAUUUUGUAUUCUGCAACUCCAUGAGAGGUAGCUCCUCUGCUGAAUUAUUUUUAAUUUCGUCUAUAGACAUUUUAAUCAGAGAUGAAAAAUGGUUGGUAUUUUGCCAAGAGUUCAGUCUAAGAGGAGGUUAUUUGCCUUUUAGAGAUACAUUAAUUUGCACUGACUUUUGUGUAGAAGGCAGAAGCUUGUAAUAGAAAAGAACCUGGAAUUGAGAGAUCAAGGAUGACUCUAGGAUUCUUUGGUAGCCCAGGAGUUGGAGGAAUUACAUGCCACCUCUCUUCCCCCUUCCACUAAUAGAAGUUUUGUUUUUGAGCUUCAAUAUAUAUCUGCUUGUCAUCCUCCAACUUAGGCUUCAUCUCAUCUACCAGUGGUAGUAGGACUACAGUUCAGUUCAAGAUGUCACCCUACCCAAGUCCUCUUCCUACUCCCUAUCCCAGAGUCAGUAGUCCCUUUUAUGUACCUUUCCUCUGCUACUUCCUGCCCACAGCUGUCCCUAGGAUAGUUUCUUAGCACAGGUGCUCAGACCGGAGGGCACAUCGAGCCACCUAGCAAGAUGGUUUUCCUUAGUUCUCUCUGACUUCUGAGGACGCAUUUCACUUUGGAGUUCUCUGAUUGUCUAGAUUCAUGGGCUUCUCAGGAAGUGCUACACAAAUCAAUAAGAAAAUAAUAAAAUAUGCCCAAUUAAAAAAGGGCAAAGGACAUGAAUAGAUAAUUCAUGAAAGAAGACAUACAAGUAGGCAUAAAUAUAUGAGAAAUAUUUCAAGCUUCAUCAAAGAAAUGCAAAUUCAAACCAAGUGAGUGGUAAAAAAUAAUCAGAACAAUAGUGUUGAGUUUUGACUAUGGAACAGGGAGAUAGACACUCAUAUUCUGUUGUAUGAAUAUAAAUUUUGGCUUUUUGGAGAAAAAAAUACCAAAAUGCAACAAAAAUUUAUUGUAACUUUCCAUGACCUUUGACCCUGUAAUUCUAUUUUCAGGAAUUUAUCCCAAUGAAAUAAUAUAAGCUAUUUGCAGAGUUUUACACAAAGAUGUUCAGCAUAGGCCUGUUUUAAUAGAGAUAACUAUUGCUCUCUAAUAAAAUGCAGUCAUGACAAUAGGAGAUUGGUCCACAAACCAAUUGUAUACCGUGUUGCCAUCAAAAACAUCAACAAAUAUUUAAAGAGGAGGAAUGUUUGCACUCCAAGAUUUUGUUUUUGUUUUUUUAAAAUAGGCUACAGAGCAGUAUAUCACAAUAAUUUCUUAAUGCGGGGGAAAAACAACAUUCAAAAAAAUCAACGGAAGAAUAUAUGCCAAAAUGUUAACAUGGUAACUGUCUUAUUAUAUAUAUAAAUGUGAAUAUUAAAAAAGAUAAAAAGAAAACAAGAAUACUGAUCACUAGCAUGUAGAAAGACUGGCCUGCUUCAGAGUCCUAAAUUUGCCUGCUUUGUAGUCCUAAAUUUGUUCUCUGUGAGUCCUGGACUGAUUGAUUGCCUUGGCUCUUUGAGAGGUGGUGUCCUCAUCUGUAAGACAGAAGUUGUUCUUGCCUUAUUUAAUAACGUUCAUAUCUGUUCAGUGCUUUACUGGUCACUUUUCUAACCAUUGUUUUAUUUUGUCCUCACAACUGUACCUUGGAGAUUAGCACUUUGUAGAUUGUUGGCUAUUUUCUCACAUUAUUUUUGUUGAUAGUGAGGCAAAGGAAAACUUCCUAAGGGCCAUUGGAGAAGAAAGAAUUAAAGGAACCAGUAUGGCGUGGCUAAUGAUCUGGCAUAUGGCUGAGUUAGAGCUGGGCAGGUGGUCCACAAGGUUGGGUCUGAAGUCAGUAAUUGAGGAUGGGAAUUUUGGUAGCAGGCCAAGGCCAGCACUGAAACAGGCCUAAAAGAAGUGUUUGAAAAGCCUAAAGCAGCAACUGAAAGAAUUCUUGGAGGGCAUAUCCUAGGAGUGGUGGCUUCCAGCUCAGAGUCCUGGUGGUUGGAUUCUAGGACUUGGAGGCUCCAAGAAAAAAGCAAGAGUCAUUCCAGUUGGGCAAAGGAGACACUUGGAUUUUUUUUUUUUUCCUAAUCUCAAGACUGGAAGCAGAUGUGACAGGCAUUAUAAAGAGCCCAGAAACAAAGAUUGGGCCCAUGCAGACUUGUAUGCAAGUUGCAAGUCUGCAUUUAUGCAAAACAGGCAGUGAUGAAGAAUGUGUGAUAGAUGAACCAAUCUAGAGAUAACCUGGAAAAAUGAGCUCAUUAAAUAAAAACUCAAGCAUUUUACUUCCUGUUCAUUAACAAGUCGAAGCCUUAUCUCCCUUAUCUCAGAGCUCCCUAGGUGAUAAUAUGAGUCCUCACUGACAUGGUAUAUCUUCUCCAUAAAUAGGUUUUCCUCUAACAAAAAAACAGUUUGCCUGCCACAGGGCUGUGUUGUGUAUGUGUAUGUGUUUUUUACUCUUGGUGUGCCCUGCACUGAACUUCUUGGUUUAUGGAAGAGGCUCAAUAUGAAACUGCAGAUUGACUCUUUUAUCGCAAUCCUUUUAAUUACUGUGCGUACCCAAUUUUAUUAUCCAAUUAUGGGUAAGAUUAAAGUUCAUCAAACUACUUGUUUUA